This 511-nucleotide ribosomal RNA is filed under the name uncultured bacterium. RNAcentral's name for it is "partial 16S ribosomal RNA". It matches the Rfam family "Bacterial small subunit ribosomal RNA", at positions 28 to 523 of the family's 1533-position model. The record is from RNAcentral.
GACGAACGCUGGCGGCGUGCCUAAUACAUGCAAGUCGAGCGGAUUGAUGGGAGCUUGCUCCCUGAUAUCAGCGGCGGACGGGUGAGUAACACGUGGGCAACCUGCCUAUAAGACUGGGAUAACUUCGGGAAACCGGAGCUAAUACCGGAUAAUCCCUUUCCUCUCAUGAGGAAAGGCUGAAAGAUGGUUUACGCUAUCACUUAUAGAUGGGCCCGCGGCGCAUUAGCUAGUUGGUGAGGAAACGGCUCACCAAGGCAACGAAGCGUAGCCGACCUGGGAGGGUGAUCGGCCACACUGGGACUGAGACACGGCCCAGACUCCUACGGGAGGCAGCAGUAGGGAAUCUUCCGCAAUGGACGAAAGUCUGACGGAGCAACGCCGCGUGAGUGAUGAAGGUUUUCGGAUCGUAAACUCUGUUGUUAGGGAAGAACAAGUACGAGAGUAACUGCUCGUACCUUGACGGUACCUAACCAGAAAGCCACGGCUAACUACGUGCCAGCCGCCGCAGUAA